Molecule: ribosomal RNA, 253 nt
Filed under: uncultured bacterium
Lineage: Bacteria
Description: partial 16S ribosomal RNA
Rfam family: Bacterial small subunit ribosomal RNA
Source: RNAcentral
GACAGAGGGUGCAAACGUUGUUCGGAAUUACUGGGCGUAAAGCGCGUGUAGGCGGCCAUCUAAGUCGGGCGUGAAAGCCCACGGCUCAACCGUGGAGGGUCAUUGGAAACUGGGGGACUUGAGUACAGAAGAGAAGAGUGGAAUUCCACGUGUAGCGGUGAAAUGCGUAGAGAUGUGGAGGAACACCAGUGGCGAAGGCGACUCUUUGGUCUGUAACUGACGCUGAGGCGCGAAAGCGUGGGGAGCAAACAGG